RNAcentral lists this ribosomal RNA (509 nucleotides) under uncultured bacterium. Its description in RNAcentral is "bacterial SSU rRNA". It matches the Rfam family "Bacterial small subunit ribosomal RNA", at positions 28 to 527 of the family's 1533-position model. The record is from RNAcentral.
GACGAACGCUGGCGGCGUGGAUUAGGCAUGCAAGUCGAACGGUAUCAUCCUUUCGGGGGUGAGAGAGUGGCGAACUGGUGAGUAACACGUAGGUUAUCUACCCUCAAGACGGGGACAACCCAGGGAAACUUGGGCUAAUACCGGAUGUGAGCAACUUUUAGUUGUUUGAAAGGUGGCGUAAGCUGUCGCUUGGGGAUGAGCCUGCGUCCUAUUAGUUAGUUGGUGAGGUAACGGCUCACCUAGGCAAUGAUAGGUAGGCGGCCUUAACGGGUGGUCGCCCACACUGGGAUUGAGAUACGGCCCAGACUCCUACGGGAGGCAGCAGUCGAGAAUAGUCUACAAUGGUCGGAAGACUGAUAGUGCGACGCCGCGUGAACGAUGAAUCCCUUCGGGGUGUAAAGUUCUUUUAUAUGUGAGCAGUGCUUCUUAUAUUAACAGUAUGGGGAAGAGAUAUUAGCAUAUGAAUAAGCAACGGCUAACUCCGUGCCAGCAGCCGACGGUAAACUACG